Molecule: ribosomal RNA, 405 nt
Filed under: uncultured bacterium
Lineage: Bacteria
Description: bacterial SSU rRNA
Rfam family: Bacterial small subunit ribosomal RNA
Source: RNAcentral
GGGCCCGCACAAGCGGUGGAGUAUGUGGUUUAAUUCGAAGCAACGCGCAGAACCUUACCAACCCUUGACAUCCUCGGACCGCCAGAGAGAUCUGGCUUUCACUUCGGUGACCGAGUGACAGGUGCUGCAUGGCUGUCGUCAGCUCGUGUCGUGAGAUGUUCGGUUAAGUCCGGCAACGAGCGCAACCCACAUCCUUAGUUGCCAGCAGUUCGACUGGGCACUCUAGGGAAACUGCCCGUGAUAAGCGGGAGGAAGGUGUGGAUGACGUCAAGUCCUCAUGGCCCUUACGGGUUGGGCUACACACGUGCUACAAUGGCAGUGACAAUGGGUUAAUCCCAAAAAACUGUCUCAGUUCGGAUUGGAGUCUGCAACUCGACUCCAUGAAGUCGGAAUCGCUAGUAAUCG